Molecule: RNA transcript, 6441 nt
Organism: Mastomys coucha (southern multimammate mouse)
Lineage: Eukaryota; Metazoa; Chordata; Mammalia; Rodentia; Muridae
Exons: 5
Source: RefSeq, a predicted model, not a curated record
CACCAAAUAUUAAACCCUAGCCCUGGAAACCAACCUCCAAAUCAUUCUCUAAGAACAAGAUAAUUUAUCUCCCACUUCGAGCCUGUGGUCCCACCCCUCCUGUCUAGACAUCCAAGAGCUGGUGGCCCCUGUCCCUAGUCCAGGUCUCAGCCUUUAUCUCCCGGUGGCCACUUAUUCCUUCACAACCAAGAUCUAAAUUUGUGAUUAAUCCAGUUGGUUGGGCUUGGUGGCCUGAGGAGCUUUGGGGAAGGAGGGACUGGGCACCCCAACCUCAAGUGGCAAAGGGUAUCUUCUGGAGUCCCUGUCAGCUCCGCUCUCUACACGCCCCACACACAUUCAGUCACAGCCUCGAGUUCAAAAGUGAAUUUAAACUCAAAGAAGCCUGGGGACAGGGACAAGGGUACUUCUGUCAUUCAUUCUCUUCCCCUGCUUCCUUGGGGACAAGGGUGGCCUGGAGGAACAAUAGUGUCCCCUGGCCCCUUCUUCCUGCAUUGGGUUAGAAAAGGCAACAGAAAGCAGUGGGGAUGACAAAGACACACACACACACACACACACACACACACACACACGCAAGCGAGGUUUGAGAAGGGAGGAGGAGGAGGCUCAGGCGGUUCGGACAGACUGUUAUUUUGGUGGUGGGCAUGGUCCCAGAUAGGGGCAGCGUCCCCCUUUUUUCCCCUGGCUUUCCAGGGAGAGCAGCAAGAGAAAGAAAGAAGCAAACGAAAUUCCUGAAUGGAUAAGAGAUGCUACGUCAGCGGUACUGGAGCCGCAUCCUCCACUCCAUAAGAAGAGAAGAGCUAGGAGAGACCAGCGGGCGGCAGCGGCGGCGUGUGGCCUCUCCGAGCGCAGCACAGAGGCAAGAAGCAGCCAGCCAGCCAGAAGCAGCCUCCCGGUUCGGUUUGUUUGGAUGUCAUCAUAGGUGGCCGGCAUCUCUGGUUUUGGGCUUCUCCCCUGGGCGGGUGGGUGCUCCACCCUCCCGCCCACUCUCUGAGGACAUGAGGACCAUGGUAUCCAGCACCACGGACAGCUCCCAGUGCAGGUUCUCUGAAUGCCUAGUUCAUGCGCAUGCGCGUGGCUGGAGGAGACUCCCAUGGCCUUGCAGAGGGAGUGAUCUAGUGGGAAAGCAGACGUCAACCACCCAGGCCUGUGGUUUCCCUGCAACAAGCCCAGUGGCUUUCUGGAGGAUACUUUUCCUGGAGGAAAGCAGUGAUUCAAGAUAUUCAGGACUUUGGGUUUGGGGUAAGUAGUGGGAAAUAUCAAGGAAGUAAGAAAGAACAUGGUAUAUUUGGGGACUCGCCUGACCCUCAAAGGAAGCAGAGCCUUGGAUGCUGAAGCAGAGAAGCUGGCUUAAUGGUCUCGGGGUUUAAGGAAGUCAGCCAUGAGCUCAGAGAUGCUAGGGCAUGGCACUUUGCUGGGUGGCACUGCAUAACGUGUGGGAGGUUCACAUGUACACAACCGACUGGUUUCUGAGCACUCACAUUUAAAAGCAAAAAGGUUUGAAGAAGUCAGGUACUGCAAGGCCAGAUGGUACUAGAAUGGAGACAGGGAGGAAGUUCUACUUAGAAACUUCCUGGAAGGGAGAGGGUGGGGUGGCAGGCAUGGGGAGGGGGGAGGCAACAGGGGUUUGUUCUUGUUGUUUUUGUUUGUUUGUUUGUUUGGAGGGGAAACUGGGAAAGGAGAAAUUUACAUGUAAAUAAAGAAAAUAUCUAAUUAAAAAAAAAAAGAAAGAAAGAAACUUCCUGGAAGAAGGAAGGGGAUGAUAAGAACAGGGAGAGGGAUCCAGGGCUUAGUCUGAGGGGAUUCUGUGAGAGCAACUGAGGUAGGGAGGAGAGGCCUUGCCACUGGUCCCCAGGCUGCAAUGUAAACAACAUGCCAGGCUUUACACAAAGGCUUCUCUGUAAGUGGCCUUAGCAGUGGCUGUCAGGUGAGGGGACUUAGCUCCUAGGGCCUUCAGGGUAUUGAGGGUAGGGCUGGAUCAGACUUCAGCAAGUCCACAUCAAAAGAAAGAAUCUAGGCCUGGCUAGAGUCUCCCUUAGAGGCUGUGUAGAGCUGGUCCCAGGCCAGGCUCCUUUCCACUGUCCAGUCAGGCCCCCAGGUCUAGGCCCAGCCUCUGCCUACCUCCUAUUCUUCCAGUUGUGCUUCCUGAGCCUUCUAGCUUAUCCUUUCCCAGUCCACACAUGCCCUCCCAGGCUAUGAAUCUGGUCUCACUGGUAUCACAGGGAACCUCUUACCCUGAGGAUUGUAUUGGGAAGGAGGGAAAGAGCACUGACCAGAGGCAAAAAGGUGUCUGGGGGUAGGGGUGGGUCGCUGUUUCAACCACUCUGCUCUCCAUCUUCUUCAGCACAAGUUCUUGCCUGGCCUUCCUUGAUGGUCUCUUCCUGCUGAUCAGCAGAGACCACCUCCCUCAUCACCAGGCCCUUGCUGCCUACCCUUCUAACUGUGCUUUAAACAGUAGAAUGACUGUCCGUCAAGGGCUCAGUCUACAGGAGGGACAACAAAAGACAGGGUUAGUGCUGGACAGACUGGACAGGGUAACAUUCUGGCUCUCUUCUCUUGCUAGUUGGAGGAGUGGAGAGGCGAGUUAUUAGUGCCUUUGGGCUUUGACUUCUAUAGCCUUUUGUAGGGUGGGGUGCAAAUGUCCAGUGUUCAGUGCUGAAUGCUGAGGGACACAGUAAGAGGAGGCCGGUAGAACUGGAGGGACAGUUUCCCAGAAGCCUGGACUUUGGGCCGGCAGCUGGGGAGAGCUAGGCUCUUGUCUAGUGACCGACCAGAGCUGCCUGGGUCUCAGGUCUGAGGUCUUACAGGGUGGUAGUGCUAUUGUUGGUAUUAGUGAUGCAUUCUGCUGAGGCUCUCUCCCAAACUGCCUACAGCUGACCCUGUUCCUUCCCUCAGCCCCUUUCCUUUUUCUCCAGAGCAGCAUAACCCAGGCUCUAUGGAAUGUUCGGUGAGAUGCUUGAGGAUCUACAAGGCCUGCCCCACAGUCUUGCAGCCUCUGACUCUCGGGCCCCUUGGCAUGGUCAGCAGUGAGCUACUUUUGGAUCUCUUGGGAGCCCUGAGUCAGUGGUCCAGGGAGACUCUGAACAGGGAGGUCUUUUGUCAUGACAUGGUUGUCCCUUGUUGUGCAAACAAGAGUCAGGGGAGAAAUGACAUUGGCUUUAGCCCCCUGCCAGCAGCACCAGGGCCUCCAGGAACUGGAGGGAAGGACCAGGCUAAGGCUGGCAUAUGGAAGAGAGCGUGAGUACGUUGAAGUUUCACCUGCUAGGGCUGCCUUCUGCUGGGCUGUCCAUCUGGCACCAGCUGGCAUACCAGCUCCACCCGCACAGCCAACCAGACUCCUUCUGCUGUUGCUAUGACAAUUGGCUGCCAUCUUGGUACUUAGGGCACUACCUACCGUCUCUCUGACUUUUCCUGUGGGGCUCCUGAAGGACAGAAAACAGAGCCUCGAAAUUUCAUACCAGAGCCAGUCAGUGGUGGCACACAUCUUUAAUUCCAGCACUCAGGAAGCAGAGGCGGAUGGAUCUCUGUGAGUUAGAGGCUAGCCUAGUCUAUAGAGCAAGUUCCAGGACAGCCAGGGCUAUCCAAAACAAAAAACAAAACAAAACAAAACAAAAAACCUGUCUCAAAAGAAAAAUUCUUAUCAGUAUUCAGUUUUCAAACAUGGCCAGGCAAGUGAAGCAGGAUGACUCGAACCUGGAAUCACAGUACCUGGAAGAGUGGUGACUUUGAGGCCAGCCUGGGGCAGAGAGUAAGGCCCUGGUCUUGGGUAUGAUGACCCAUGCCUUUAUUCCCAGCUCUUGAAAGACAGAGGCAGGAGGAUCUCUAUGAGUUCAAUACCAGCCUGGUCCACGUAGCAAGUUUCAGAUCAGCUAGGUCUACAUAGUGAGACUCCAUCUCAAACAAAAUAAAGCCAAAUUAAUUAGUCACCAUGGCUAGCUCAGUGGGUGGAGUGCUUGUUUAGCAUGCACAGGUCCCUGGGUUCCACCCUCAGUACCACACAGACUGUAUUUUGUGGCACGUAAUCUCAGCACUCAGGAGGCUGAGGCAGAUGAACCACUACAGUUUUAAGGCCUGCCUGGGCUAUAUCUCCAAGGACGUAAAAUGGCGACAGCCAAACUAGGCCACUAGGUCCAGCUCCAUGCUAUGCUCUCUCUACUCCGUGUCUAAGAAAGAAUCAGUGAGAUAGAGUUGAAGAAGUUCAGAUCCUGUUUCUGGGUUGGGACUGGAGCUCAGUGCUAGGGAAGGGGUAGGGGUUGGGGGGCUUGGGAGAGCAGAUCCUGUUUCCUGCUUCUGACAGACUUUUCCUCAUUCUGAUCAGGAAGUCCCACUGUUUUUCUCAUUCCUGUCUUGGGAGCCUUCCCCAACCCUAUAGUGAAGAUGGGCGGAGCUGCCACACCAGCUGUUAGCAUGCCAUGGCUGAGAGGAGAGGCAGCAAGGAGGGAGUGAGCACCCAGCUUUAAUUGUUUUAAAGCAGUUCCUGACCCUAGGAGAAGGGAAGUGGAACCAGAGACUGGGUUGACUUGGUAUGACAUUUAAGUGCCCCUUAGAGACUUGGGGGUCAAGGACAGUGAGGUGACUCAGUGGGUAGACUCACUUGCCUCUAAGCCUGACAACCUAAGUUAAUACCCACCACCCACAUAUGGAAGAAAAAAACUGAUUUCCAAACGUCGUCCUCUGACCUCCACACAUACACCAUGGCCUGUGCACUGCCUCCCCCCCCAAAAUGUAAUACAUUUUUUAAAAAGACAUGGGGACUUCCAUUCAGUGUCUCCCAUGUUUUGGGGUUUCCUUUCCUUAUUCCCUAUCAGUGCCCUAGCACAGGCAGAGCAAGUCUAACUACAGAGAGAUCUUCCUCUAGGCUGGUUGGUGGAACCUUAAAAGGCUCCAACUGGUCCCCGAGAGUCCCAGUUUCUUCUCUCACACAACAGAAGGUGGUUGGAAGAGCGCAUUGGUGCUGAGGGGGCCAGCUGGUUGAGAAGCAGGUGGAGAGGGAAUGGACCCUGCUUAAGAGGGGGCUGGGUGGGAAGGCUGGGUAAUUUAUGAUAUCAUUGUUCCCGCCCCUCUUCCCGGACCCCUGCCACUUUACUGUUGCUAGGAGAUCCUAGCUGGCCCUGUCAUCUGGAAUACUCCUCCCCAGCCAGGCGUAGGCCCUACUCUGAGUCACAUCAGACCCUGGCACACACCAGUGUCUCCCGUGGAUCCCUCCAGGUUCAGCCAGCUUGGAAGUGGGACUACCUGUCAGAGCAAGUGUGGGGGUGGUGAUAUGGAGGGCAAUAGACUUUGGUGGAGCACACUGAAGGCCUGCAGGUGGACCUGGGAACCAAACCUGGAAGAACCCAAGUUAAUAAAUGCAAUCCUUAUCUUAGAGAGAGGGGGCUUUCAGCAGACUGAUCUAACACACAGACUUCUCAGCCCACUCCCUCCAGUCAAGGUUAAGGCCUGGCAAAGGUGGGGGUGGGGGAAGAGAGAAACUGAGGAGAAAAAGGCUGAGGAGAGUCAGGCACACGGGAAGGUGACCAUGAGUAGAGUUGGGUGGCCCAGGGAUGUGGCCGAGAUUCCCUCUUCUUUCUGGAGUUCUCUUAGACAAUAAGGCUGAAGAGAAAGUUGGUACAGGAACGCUGAAGGUUUCUCAAGCUGCAGGCUAGGGGCACUGUGCUUCUCAGCAUUGGCCUUGACUUGGCUCCCACAGGCUUUUGUCUCAGUUUAUCUGCCCUGGCUGAAACCCAAAUGAUUCUGUCCCCAGCUCCAUAAGAGCAAUCAGAGAUCCCUUGGGAGUCCCAGUCUGCUCCCCAGAGGCACCCUCUUGUUUUGUGCUCCACACAGGGCUCCCUCCCUCCGAAUGCUGAUUUCCUAUGGACCAGAUUCCAGCACAGUGGAGAACCAGAGCUCAGGGAACAGACCCAGCAGCACAGGAAAUCUCCAAGGGAAGCUCUACCGGUUUCCAGAGGCUGAAGGCAAAGACUGGAGAAGAGGCUAGGCAGGCUGCAGACGUCAAAUGCUCCCAGGAUGCUGUCUAGCAAGCAUCUGUCUGCCUGUCUUCGUAAGCAAGUUUCCUGGGCUCCAGCCCCAGAUCGAAGCCUCAUCCUGCCCUCUGUGCUCUGGGAUGGCCCAGGGGAGAUGCUUAGCCUUGGCUCCUUGUCUGCUGGUGGAGGGGACAGACACCUUUCUGGACCACAGACCAAAAAGAAGACCUGGCCUCACCCUGAGCACCCCUGCCAUGCAAAGUGUGUUCCCAAACUGCCACCGAGCUGGCUCCAGCAAGCAGAAGUAGACAGAAGUGGAGGUUCAGCCUGGCAGCUUCUCCCCAAAGCCAUGAAGAGCAAGCCUUACCUCCCUGGUUACUUCCAGCAACUUGUCCAGCCUGACCCAUCUAUAUCCCCUGUUGCCUCUCAGAUGGGUCCCCAAGACCCACCCCAUCUCCAAUAAAGAACAUUGCAUACUGAG